Long non-coding RNA from Heterocephalus glaber (naked mole-rat), 2924 nucleotides. The record is from Ensembl. Lineage: Eukaryota; Metazoa; Chordata; Mammalia; Rodentia; Bathyergidae.
AUUCCUUCCCCAUUUUCCAACACACACGCCCUCGACUCCCAAACUUUAUGUAAAAGCUCUCUAGACAAUAACUGGUGUGGACAAUUACUUGGGGGAGAAGAUGUCAUGUUCACCAUGGAGGAGAUGCUGUGUGUUCAGUCUUUUAGAUAACAGACCACUGGAUUUGGAGCCUUUUCCACUUGCAGUUUCCGCCCAGCUUACUACCAAGAACGGGCUGGAGGGCUGAAUGGCAGUGUGCGAUAUACAAGCUACAGGACCGGGUCCCCGGAGCUCAGAUUGAGGGCCCGGUGUGACUGUGACACAGGACAACUGGCCGGCUGUCCCGAGUUAGGAAGUGCAGGACUCAGGCGUGGCUCCCUUAAGGCAGGCAGGCAUAUUAUAUGCUGGCACGGUGCUGUACUGGGCUGCUCAGCUAUUGUGUCUUCCCACAAGUAAAAGCUGCCACGAGGUCAAUGGGACUCCUCUGCCACAUGCCCCUCCCAUGAUGCACUGUGCCACCAGGGGCCCAGUGCAACAGGACCAGGUGACCAUGGAUGAAACAUCCAGACCUUUCUUCCUUUUAACUUGACUCAUCUCAGGCUGCAUUUUGCUCAGACUCUCCUGGAAAGUGAUUUGUGAACACUGCAGGGACUUCUUCAUCUCUGAGUGGAUGUUCAGAAACCACCUGGGAAGAAUGCAGAUGCUCACACACCUGCCCAUGGUAGCAGCAGACUACACGGGGGCUUCUAACACCUGAACACGACCACAGGUCACACAGGGAUCCUGUACGUCCUAGCUUGAUACUAUACGAUGGAUAACUGUACCUAAAUGUCGUAUUGUCGCCCACAAAUAUGUACAAUUUCUGAGUGUCCCUCAAAAAUAAAAAUGGAACAAGAGGAAGAAAAUGUCUCAGCAGGUCUAGGAUCCUGCCUGAGAUUCUGCACCUUUAACAGGCUUGCAGGAGCCGCUGCCUGGUGGGAUGCACUUUGAGUGGCAAGGUCCUAUGAUGUCAUCUUUCGAGAUGUUGCCGGGCUCUAAUGUGGCAGGAGUAUCGGAGGGGACAUGAGACCAACUACAUCUGAGACUCAUAACGCAACUUCUCUGAACUCUGGCGUCCUCCUUUAUAAAGUGAAAUACACAAAUUUACAGAGCUGCCAUGAAACUAGUCAAUGUUCCAAAUAAAAACAAGUUCAAUGGAUAGGUUCAUGUAGAAGUUUUUUGUUUUUUUGUUUUUUGAAAUUGGGUCUUGCUAACAAGUUACACGUACACCAUGUUUCAUCUUUAUCAUCUUGCAGUGUUUCUUUGGAACAUUUGGGUGGAAAAGCACAUGGAUGUCACAUUCUUCCUGAUGUGGAGCUUCACUCGGUUUGAGGAUCCCUUCAUUCAUGUCUCUCAAUCUCCAAGCUGCAAUUCUGUUGAAGUCUACUUAUCCACUUCUUGGAACUGCUUUUUAAUGUGACACAAAACCAUUAUAAUUACCACUGGGAAGUAAAGAGAUGGUGCAAUUCAGCCCAAGUGGAAGACAGAACACAAGGGCAUACAUAAUUUUCAUGUUUUAGGUUGAAGGUUCUAAUCCUUUUGCUCAUUUAAUUCCUGAAUUGGGAAGUAUUAUACAAAGACUUCAUUUUUAAAGCCUAAAGCAAAGCUUAGUUUAGCAGCCAAGUAUGGAUAAGAAAGGAGUGAAAAGGUGAUAAUAUGAGUCCAUGGUCUUUAGCAUUUUUCAGAAAGUAUGUCUGAAUUAAUGCUGAUAGGCCCCUUGUAAGUUGUCAUGUUUCCUAGAAGUAUCCAUGAAUGUUAGCAGAGUUAGCAGAGAUACCACAAAAUCUAAAUAGGGAAAAUCUUCUAUUCUUGGGAGAGGCCAAAAGCAUUCAGAGAAAAGAAGCAUGUAUAGGAAAUGCUGAUUCCCUUGAAAGAGUGGUCCAGAGCCACUCACGCCUAAUGGGCUGUGGCUUUGGGGACCGUUUUACUGCAGUAAGAGGGUAGAUGAAGAUUGUUGGUAGCCAAGUGUGGUGGUGAAUGCCUGUAAUCCCACCUAUUUGGGAAGUUGAGGCAGGAGGAUUGUGAAUUUGAGGCCAGCCUGGGCAACUUGGCAAGACCCUGUCUCAAAAUAAAAAUAAGGGCUGAGGAUGUAGCUCAGUGGAAAGACUUUGGAUCAAUGUCUCUGUUGUCUCUAUUUUUUGUUUUUUAUUAUUUUUCUAUUAUUUUGGUCCUAAGUUCAAUUUUCCUAAGAAUUAGUAAAUAGCCAGUUGUAAUGGCAUGCUCGACUUUUCCUUUUACCUAAAUUUAGCAUGAGUGCGUGUACAAAGAGAUUUAUUUAUUUUCUACAAGAACAAAACUUACCAACAGUUACUUGUGAAUAUCAUGAAACAAACUUUACCAAGUGGACUACAGAACAUGGACACACAAUUUGGAAUUGAAAAAUCUCCACUUAUCAAGCCAAAUUUUGUAUUCUCUCUGUUAACAUUAUCUGAUUUGGUUCUGUAUUCUGUUCAGGAAAUAUCUUCUUAAUCUUCAUACCUUAGGAGGAUAUUUUAAAAAAAGAAUUUUAGAAAAUCUUAAAAGUUACUGGAUGGUGAGAUAACAGCAACUUCUUUAACAAGAACAAAGCUACUAUAAUAAAAGCCAUCAGGUUUGAAAUAUUUAUGAAAAUGUUUAAUCAACUGUUUCUUUGGAAUGUAGUAGUCAUAGUUUGGAAUUUAAGUUACAGUUCAGUUCUAUGUGGUUUUUAUGCUACUCAGAGUCUGAGAAUACAAAUGUCAUUUAAAGUUAAGGCUUCGCUGUUCAUUCUGAAACAACAAUUUACAAGUGUCAUAUUGUCAUAGAAAAUAAAAAUUUCUGUAAAAAAAAUUUGCACAAAAUUUUAUGAUGGUACAAAACAUGAAGCAAUAACAUACCAGUAAAAUGAAAACAUUUUACUACAGAAAGUUUUAUAGAUUUCAAUAAAG